AACGACAGGUUGGGGUUUUCUCUAACCAGUUGUGAAUCACUUUAAUCGCAGUGGCUUGAACCGGGCAAAAGUCGUAACAAGGUAGUUGUAGGUGAACCUGCAACUGGAUCAUCGCA
RNAcentral lists this ribosomal RNA (116 nucleotides) under Pellioditis ehrenbaumi. RNAcentral's name for it is "partial 18S ribosomal RNA". It matches the Rfam family "Eukaryotic small subunit ribosomal RNA", at positions 1714 to 1831 of the family's 1831-position model. The record is from RNAcentral. Lineage: Eukaryota; Metazoa; Nematoda; Chromadorea; Rhabditida; Rhabditidae.